GAUGAACGCUAGCUACAGGCUUAACACAUGCAAGUCGAGGGGCAUCAGGAACAAAGCUUGCUUUGUUUGCUGGCGACCGGCGCACGGGUGAGUAACGCGUAUCCGACCUACCCAUAACUCGGGCACAGCCGCUCGAAAGAGCGAUUGAUUCCCGAUAUGUCCUUGGAGUAGAUUCAAUGAUGAAAGAUUUAUCGGUUAUGGAUGGGGAUGCGUAAGAUUAGGUAGUAGGCGGGGUAACGGCCCACCUAGCCGACGAUCUUUAGGGGUUCUGGGAGGAAGGUCCCCCACACUGGAACUGAGACACGGUCCAGACUCCUACGGGAGGCAGCAGUGAGGAAUAUUGGUCAAUGGGCGCGAGCCUGAACCAGCCAAGUAGCGUGAAGGAUGACUGCCCUACGGGUUGUAAACUUCUUUUGUUUGGGAAUAAAUGAUACUACGUGUAGUAUUUUGCAUGUACCUUACGAUAAGCAUCGGCUAAUUCCGUG
RNAcentral lists this ribosomal RNA (485 nucleotides) under uncultured bacterium. RNAcentral describes it as "bacterial SSU rRNA". It matches the Rfam family "Bacterial small subunit ribosomal RNA", at positions 28 to 507 of the family's 1533-position model. The record is from RNAcentral.